GCUCCUACGGGACGCAGCAGUGGGGAAUAUUGCGCAAUGGGCGAAAGCCUGACGCAGCGACGCCGCGUGAAGGAAGAAGGCUUUCGGGUUGUAAACUUCUUUUAAGAGGGAAGAGUAGAAGACGGUACCUCUUGAAUAAGCCACGGCUAACUACGUGCCAGCAGCCGCGGUAAUACGUAGGUGGCAAGCGUUGUCCGGAUUUACUGGGUGUAAAGGGCGUGUAGCCGGGCCGGCAAGUCAGAUGUGAAAUCCCAAGGCUCAACCUUGGAACUGCAUUUGAAACUGUUGGUCUUGAGUAUCGGAGG
Molecule: ribosomal RNA, 305 nt
Filed under: uncultured bacterium
Lineage: Bacteria
Description: bacterial SSU rRNA
Rfam family: Bacterial small subunit ribosomal RNA
Source: RNAcentral